Molecule: long non-coding RNA, 678 nt
Organism: Triticum aestivum (bread wheat)
Lineage: Eukaryota; Viridiplantae; Streptophyta; Magnoliopsida; Poales; Poaceae
Exons: 3
Source: RefSeq, a predicted model, not a curated record
CUUGCGAUCUGAAAAUACCUACUCACUGCCGCCGGCCGCCUAGUAGAGAUUGUCUACCGUCGAGAAGGAAAGGCGAUUAGGCAGGCACCGUCGCCGAUCCACAGGCGCAUCCCAGCCGGCCGGCCGGCCACACGGACGAGCGACCAAACGAGAAAAAGAAAGACAUGGUAUGGAUUAGGAGAAGGGCCAUCACUAUAAGCGACCGUGGACCUAAGAAUGAAUGACGUCCUCUAUGCCAGCAUGCAUUGAGACAAAGAUGGGGAGAUGCAUAGAGCACUAACAGGUGGAAGGUCGCAGGCCAGACCAAGCCAAGAAUGAUGGGGCACCAGCGCUGCCGGUGGAGGUGACAGGUGAGUGAGAGAUUGACGGGUUCGGAUGGUGAUGGUGGGAUGGGCCUGUGUGGAGGUCGUUGGCAAUUGAAUCAUGGUGAGGUUUAGAGGGCGGCCACGACCGACGAUCGCACAGUGGAAGUGACGCCUUGCAUAGGGUGGGGCAGCGAGAUAGCUUAUCGUCGUCCUCUGAUUCUAGGAUGCUCUAUUUUUCUUAGGAAAAUGUGUCAUUACUAGUUAUUUUCAGUUUACAUUUUGGAGGGGUAGUAUUUUUUCAGUUGAUUCUGAAAUCACUAGGCUACAAUCUGCUACUCUAUUUCUUUACGCCUCCCUUUAUUUCCGCUUUCAA